CACAGGCUCAGCUCCCUCCUCCCUCCGGCCUGGGCACUACUCGGGGGCAGAGCUGUGAGAUCUGAAGCAACCGAUGCACCAGAGGCUCAAGGGCAAGCACCCCCCUCUCCAGGGCUGGACAGCUCGGCGGCCGUGCAGCAGCAGGAGUCGGUCCCUCUCAGGACACGCAAGGGGAGCCGAGGGGCCUGACGGGAGCCUCCGACGCCGAGGCUCGGUCUCCCUAGGAGUUACUCAGUUCAACAGUCGCUCAAGACACCAGAACAACGAGCUGAAGAUUUCAAGGGUUUUCCUUCGUGUGAAUCCGAUGGUGCAAAGGAGAACGUUAUAUAAGAGAGGGCUCAGUGCCCAUGUGGACUCUCAGCAGUGCUCUCGGGGGAAGA
Talpa occidentalis (Iberian mole) is the source of this 380-nucleotide long non-coding RNA. RefSeq lists it as uncharacterized. The record is from RefSeq and is a predicted model, not a curated record. The transcript has 3 exons. Lineage: Eukaryota; Metazoa; Chordata; Mammalia; Eulipotyphla; Talpidae.